AAAAUUGGCAGCAGCAUUUGGAAAAAGUGAAGAACGAAGGCAAUCUUUCAUUCGAUUCCUAAAUUCCAAAGUGAAGAACGGACAAGAGAAACCACGACAGGGAAAAACAAACAAAAAAUGAUAAAAUAGAAAUAGAAUAAAGAGAGUGGAACGGAAGGGAUAAUCUAUUAAAUUGGAAGUUUAAUCUUUCUCCAUAUCUAGAUUUUAACUUCUUCCACCACUUUAGAACACCCAUUUUUAAAUUCUUGCUUUUCUCAUCACAUAUAGACACAAACACCCACCUCCUCAAUCCAAAAUUGAAAACCAAUUAGACUUUCAUUCGGUUCGAGUUUUUUUGGUUGCUCAGAUUUGAGUGACAAUUUCGGAGUUCAAAGUCUCGAGAUAGGAAUUGAGCCGACGAAGUUCUAUUUGAGGUCUCUGGCUUUCCGUGAUUCGAGCCCAAUAUUCGAUUUUGGAAUUCCAGAAUUUUUUCAACAAAUUAAGUUUUCUCAUGCAGGUGUGGAUCUACUUACUGGAGUUUGAGCAUGACAGACACCCCGGGAUUGAGUCUUUUAGGUGGUUUCAGAAUCUAUCAUAGUCUAGCUGAGUUUGUUGAGUCUUUUGUUAUCAUAUUGCUGAUUCUGUAUUCAAAAAAAGUUGUAAUGAAUAAUCCAAAAAGAUUUUAAUUUUUUUA
This is a non-coding RNA of Nicotiana tabacum (common tobacco), 673 nucleotides long. Lineage: Eukaryota; Viridiplantae; Streptophyta; Magnoliopsida; Solanales; Solanaceae. The record is from RefSeq and is a predicted model, not a curated record.